CGUAGGAUGCAAGCGUUAUCCGGAAUUAUUGGGCGUAAAGAGUUCGUAGACGAAUUGUUAAGUAGGAUGUUAAAGAUCAGGGCCUAACCCUGGGAAGGCAUUCUAAACUGGCAGAAUAGAGCAAUGUAGGGGCAAGUAGAAUUCUGUGUGUAGGGGUAAUAUCCGUAGAUAUACAGAGGAAUACCAAAAGCGAAGGCAGCUUGCUGGGCAUUUGCUGACGUUCAAGAACGUAAGCGUGGGGAGCAAACAGGAUUAGAUACCCUGGUAGUCCACGCCCUAAACAAUGAUCACUCGAUGUCGGAGGAUUCGACCCCUUCGGUGUCUAAGUUAACACGAUAAGUGAUCCGCCUGGGUAGUACGAUCGCAAGAUUA
Molecule: ribosomal RNA, 372 nt
Filed under: uncultured organism
Description: bacterial SSU rRNA
Rfam family: Bacterial small subunit ribosomal RNA
Source: RNAcentral